RNAcentral lists this ribosomal RNA (2250 nucleotides) under Escherichia coli. Its description in RNAcentral is "bacterial LSU rRNA". It matches the Rfam family "Bacterial large subunit ribosomal RNA", at positions 591 to 2826 of the family's 2925-position model. The record is from RNAcentral. RNAcentral also lists the same sequence under 3 other names. Lineage: Bacteria; Pseudomonadati; Pseudomonadota; Gammaproteobacteria; Enterobacterales; Enterobacteriaceae.
GUGUGACUGCGUACCUUUUGUAUAAUGGGUCAGCGACUUAUAUUCUGUAGCAAGGUUAACCGAAUAGGGGAGCCGAAGGGAAACCGAGUCUUAACUGGGCGUUAAGUUGCAGGGUAUAGACCCGAAACCCGGUGAUCUAGCCAUGGGCAGGUUGAAGGUUGGGUAACACUAACUGGAGGACCGAACCGACUAAUGUUGAAAAAUUAGCGGAUGACUUGUGGCUGGGGGUGAAAGGCCAAUCAAACCGGGAGAUAGCUGGUUCUCCCCGAAAGCUAUUUAGGUAGCGCCUCGUGAAUUCAUCUCCGGGGGUAGAGCACUGUUUCGGCAAGGGGGUCAUCCCGACUUACCAACCCGAUGCAAACUGCGAAUACCGGAGAAUGUUAUCACGGGAGACACACGGCGGGUGCUAACGUCCGUCGUGAAGAGGGAAACAACCCAGACCGCCAGCUAAGGUCCCAAAGUCAUGGUUAAGUGGGAAACGAUGUGGGAAGGCCCAGACAGCCAGGAUGUUGGCUUAGAAGCAGCCAUCAUUUAAAGAAAGCGUAAUAGCUCACUGGUCGAGUCGGCCUGCGCGGAAGAUGUAACGGGGCUAAACCAUGCACCGAAGCUGCGGCAGCGACGCUUAUGCGUUGUUGGGUAGGGGAGCGUUCUGUAAGCCUGCGAAGGUGUGCUGUGAGGCAUGCUGGAGGUAUCAGAAGUGCGAAUGCUGACAUAAGUAACGAUAAAGCGGGUGAAAAGCCCGCUCGCCGGAAGACCAAGGGUUCCUGUCCAACGUUAAUCGGGGCAGGGUGAGUCGACCCCUAAGGCGAGGCCGAAAGGCGUAGUCGAUGGGAAACAGGUUAAUAUUCCUGUACUUGGUGUUACUGCGAAGGGGGGACGGAGAAGGCUAUGUUGGCCGGGCGACGGUUGUCCCGGUUUAAGCGUGUAGGCUGGUUUUCCAGGCAAAUCCGGAAAAUCAAGGCUGAGGCGUGAUGACGAGGCACUACGGUGCUGAAGCAACAAAUGCCCUGCUUCCAGGAAAAGCCUCUAAGCAUCAGGUAACAUCAAAUCGUACCCCAAACCGACACAGGUGGUCAGGUAGAGAAUACCAAGGCGCUUGAGAGAACUCGGGUGAAGGAACUAGGCAAAAUGGUGCCGUAACUUCGGGAGAAGGCACGCUGAUAUGUAGGUGAAGUCCCUCGCGGAUGGAGCUGAAAUCAGUCGAAGAUACCAGCUGGCUGCAACUGUUUAUUAAAAACACAGCACUGUGCAAACACGAAAGUGGACGUAUACGGUGUGACGCCUGCCCGGUGCCGGAAGGUUAAUUGAUGGGGUUAGCGCAAGCGAAGCUCUUGAUCGAAGCCCCGGUAAACGGCGGCCGUAACUAUAACGGUCCUAAGGUAGCGAAAUUCCUUGUCGGGUAAGUUCCGACCUGCACGAAUGGCGUAAUGAUGGCCAGGCUGUCUCCACCCGAGACUCAGUGAAAUUGAACUCGCUGUGAAGAUGCAGUGUACCCGCGGCAAGACGGAAAGACCCCGUGAACCUUUACUAUAGCUUGACACUGAACAUUGAGCCUUGAUGUGUAGGAUAGGUGGGAGGCUUUGAAGUGUGGACGCCAGUCUGCAUGGAGCCGACCUUGAAAUACCACCCUUUAAUGUUUGAUGUUCUAACGUUGACCCGUAAUCCGGGUUGCGGACAGUGUCUGGUGGGUAGUUUGACUGGGGCGGUCUCCUCCUAAAGAGUAACGGAGGAGCACGAAGGUUGGCUAAUCCUGGUCGGACAUCAGGAGGUUAGUGCAAUGGCAUAAGCCAGCUUGACUGCGAGCGUGACGGCGCGAGCAGGUGCGAAAGCAGGUCAUAGUGAUCCGGUGGUUCUGAAUGGAAGGGCCAUCGCUCAACGGAUAAAAGGUACUCCGGGGAUAACAGGCUGAUACCGCCCAAGAGUUCAUAUCGACGGCGGUGUUUGGCACCUCGAUGUCGGCUCAUCACAUCCUGGGGCUGAAGUAGGUCCCAAGGGUAUGGCUGUUCGCCAUUUAAAGUGGUACGCGAGCUGGGUUUAGAACGUCGUGAGACAGUUCGGUCCCUAUCUGCCGUGGGCGCUGGAGAACUGAGGGGGGCUGCUCCUAGUACGAGAGGACCGGAGUGGACGCAUCACUGGUGUUCGGGUUGUCAUGCCAAUGGCACUGCCCGGUAGCUAAAUGCGGAAGAGAUAAGUGCUGAAAGCAUCUAAGCACGAAACUUGCCCCGAGAUGAGUUCUCCCUGACUCCUUGA